GGUAUUGAUUAAGAGUUUUUACAGAGAAGGUCAUCUCCUUUCUUCUUCCUGGUACAGAGAGGCAGGCAACUUUUACAGAUAGAGAUUUACCUUACAAAUGUAAAUGUGUGCUAACAAAGGGCAAGUUCCAUUCCUCAGAGCCUCCUUCCCUGUCCCACUUUAUCAAAAGCAAUCAGCCUCAAAUAAUCCUGAUGCCAAAGAGACAUAUCUUGUGGUGGCCAUUUCCAGGUCCCCACAUUGGUUAAGAAAGAUAAAUUUGUCCUACUGUACUAGAAGGGAAGAAAGAAAGCAUGGGACAAAUUCUGAAGGCAAAAAGAAAGUUAUAGGACACAUUGGUUAUCUUGCCAAAACUUUGACUGGAAUGUCAUAUUUGAGAGAAACAUACAGACUCGGAUAUAGCAAUACUGCGUUUGAGGAACAAGGUUGACUUUCUGGAAAUAAAGCCACUUGGAAAUAUGGGCCUGGUACCUUGCUUUACAGAGAGAUUCCAGCAAUCUUACCCGGUAAGUAAGGAAGCUUGCUUAUCUGGCAGGUGUGAGGAACCUCGGAAUAUUUUGGGGGACCUCAAGAAGAGAAGAAUCCACCCAAAUCUGUAGGUACUGCAGGCAAAAUCUGACGGCAAGUCCUUGGCUUGGCUUUCCUGGCCUCGAGAGGUCUUUAAAGUUCAAUCUGAGAUUCCUCAUAAAAAAAUUCCAGCAAAGCAGACUUAAGCGCCUAUAUGAUCAACUGCUAUUCUUGCUGCACUUAUGUAAAUAACCAGGCCAAGUUUCUUGAAACUAAACUUAUUUUGCAAACCAAUUAGUCUUAAUUUGGCUAUCUUUGGUAAAAAUGAGGGUGAUUUUAGAGAGAAGAAUUAUGCUCCAGUGAGAAACUAAAAUACAUAUUUGUGGAUGUUGGAUCCUAGUUCUGUUAAUUGUCUUUGAGGCUUUUUUUUUCUACCUGUGAACUGAACCGGACCCUCAAUUCUGCUGAAAUAUUUGGUUACAAAUCUCCAAAUGAAUGUUUUCAAUUUUCUCCUUCAUUUUCAUUUGGAAUCAUUGAGAAUUGAACCUGCUCUUUUUCCUGAAACCUUGCAAACUGAAGCUGAACGACUUAAUAGAAACUUAAGAGAGAUUCCUAUCUGUUGCUGUGUAAGCUGUAAGCCACUCAAAAAGAUACCUGAAUGCCCGAUGACAUCAUCAGAGACCUUUCAAGCUGCAAAAGAUGCUUUGACUCUGACAUCUAGAAGUCUUCUUGAUUACCUGCCCCCUGGACGCAGGAACAAAUUUAUAAUUUGCUCUAACCAUUAACCUUGUUACCUUGCUUCCAACAUCACAAGAGAGAGAAGACCAGGACCACAAUCUAUUGUUUAAUUUGGUUUACAAAUGAGACUUACUUAAAUGAUAAGUGAGGAUGUUAUCAAGCUGGAUGUGCUGUCCAGCCUCAAGAAUGCCUGCUACUUUCUGUUAACUCUGCUAACUCAGUAAAAGAUUUCCUUCUACCGGCUCAAGAAAUUGCCACAGAACAAGAUAAGCAGAUAUGGCAGUCAAA
This 1530-nucleotide long non-coding RNA is filed under the name Equus caballus (horse). RNAcentral describes it as "lncRNA (ENSECAG00000046477.1)". The record is from RNAcentral. Lineage: Eukaryota; Metazoa; Chordata; Mammalia; Perissodactyla; Equidae.